RNAcentral lists this ribosomal RNA (444 nucleotides) under uncultured bacterium. RNAcentral describes it as "bacterial SSU rRNA". It matches the Rfam family "Bacterial small subunit ribosomal RNA", at positions 355 to 822 of the family's 1533-position model. The record is from RNAcentral.
UAACGAAUCUUCCGCAAUGGGCGCAAGCCUGACGGAGCAAUGCCGCGUGUGGGAUGAAGCGUCUCUGACGUGUAAACCACUGUCAGGGGUUAGAAACAAUGAUCAACCCCAAAGGGAGUGGCGACUAACUCUGUGCCAGCAGUCGCGGUAAUACAGAGGCCACAAGCGUUAGUCGGAAUCACUGGGCUUAAAGGGUGCGUAGGCUGGUCCGCAAGCGUCUUGUGAAAGCCCUCGGCUCAACCGAGGAACAGCAGGGCGAACUGCGGAUCUUGAGGCAGGUAGGGGUCGCGAGAACAGUAGGUGGAGCGGUGAAAUGCGUAGAUAUCUACUGGAAUGCCGAUGGUGAAGACGCGCGACUGGGCCUGUCCUGACGCUGAGGCACGAAAGCGUGGGGAGCAAACAGGAUUAGAUACCCCCGUAGUCCCUGAGCGGGCUGGCAAGGCG